AUAGGGGCUGGGAUAGGGGCUGGGAUAGCUGCCUUUGGGUGGGCUGGGAGAGCUGCCUUUGGGUGGGGACGAGCUGGGCAGUCCUGUAUGGUCCGUGCAGUCCCCGUGCCGGAGGAGAUGGCCGGAGGCACAGCCACGCUGCUGCUCCACAGCCGUCUGUCUGUCUCCAGCGUGCGUGAAGCCUCAAGGACACUUUGGACAAAGGCAGAUCUUGGCAGCAAUGACCCCUGCUGAUCUCUGCUGGAGGAACUGCACUAUCCCCUGCUCGGAGCCAGUAGCCAAAGGCUCCCAUGUUUCUGCAUUUAUUGACCCGUGAUUUUCACACUUUUGUUGUAACAAGCUGAGCUGAGAAAAUACAUGCAAAUGCCAGGCAGAGAUAAGAUGUACCACACCUUGAAGUACUGCCAGCGCUGGCUCUGGGAGCGCCAGAUCGGCUGUCUGCCCCUCCAGCCUCCUCCCCCCGGCAGCAGGAACGGGGGAGGGUCUGUCCCUGCUCUGCCCCUGCACAUCCGGAGAUGAGGGUGCCUCACAUGUCCCCUGGGCUCGACCAGCAACCGGCUCUUCCAUCCUGCCCAGUUCCAACCAGUCCCUGGAGAAGGCACCAAAAACUCCUGGCUGCUUGGGACAGGGAGGAAAGGUCACCCUGAUGUCUCAUGCCUUGCACAACACAGGGACACAGACCUCCCCUGCCCUCCUCAGCACUGCUGGCAGCAGGACCUGUUCCUGAGGAACCCUGGUUCCCGAGGAACCCUUGUUCCUGAGGAACCCUUGCUCCUGAGGAUGGCUGUUCCACCGGGCCCCUGCGGAUGCAGCCAGGGAGAAAUGUGCUCCAGAUCACGUUCUCCCUUGGAGGUGGUGACAUUUCAGGGUGUGUGUGGGGGGAGUGGGACGAAGAGGCAAGGCAGGAUAUUCCUGCUCCCCCAUCCCCACGGCCAUCUGGAUGUGUGCUGAUGCCUCCUCACAGCAGGCUGAGUCAGUCCAGUGGCUUCUCAUUAUCAGCUGGAGGGAAUCCAAAUUCUGCAUUGUACGGCUG
Long non-coding RNA from Prinia subflava (tawny-flanked prinia), 1033 nucleotides. RefSeq lists it as uncharacterized. The transcript has 3 exons. Lineage: Eukaryota; Metazoa; Chordata; Aves; Passeriformes; Cisticolidae. The record is from RefSeq and is a predicted model, not a curated record.